UUUGAGAGGUUGAAGCUGCCAGCAUGAUCUGGUACGAACAAAGUCCAUUUCUUGCUAUAUAUAUAUUUUCUUGCAAAGAAUAAUCUUGAGGUGUUUUGGGUUUGAAUUUAGCUAAGUGAUUUGGAAAAGAAAUUGGAAUUUUGCAAAGUUUUUAUUGAAAGAGAAUAUAGGUAGCUUUCAUGGGUUUGGUUCCAUCAGGUCAUCUAGCAGCUUCAAUCACUCACCAC
Molecule: microRNA precursor, 227 nt
Filed under: Nicotiana tabacum (common tobacco)
Lineage: Eukaryota; Viridiplantae; Streptophyta; Magnoliopsida; Solanales; Solanaceae
Description: miR167c stem-loop (nta-MIR167c)
Gene: nta-MIR167c
Rfam family: MIR167 microRNA precursor family
Source: miRBase by way of RNAcentral